GAGAAAAAAACGGCGAAGGGGGAAAGGGGAAAAAUAAAGCUUUAUUUUUCCCCUUUCCCCCUUCGCCGUUUUUUUCUCCGCUCUUUUUU
This 89-nucleotide microRNA precursor is filed under the name Paramuricea clavata. Lineage: Eukaryota; Metazoa; Cnidaria; Anthozoa; Malacalcyonacea; Plexauridae. The record is from RNAcentral.